GUGUCAGCCGCCGCGGUAAGACGUAGGGAGCGAGCGUUGUCCGGAUUCAUUGGGCGUAAAGAGCGCGCAGGCGGCUUGGUAAGUCGGAUGUGAAAACCCGGAGCUCAACUCCGGGCGUGCAUCCGAAACUGCCCGGCUAGAGGUAGGUAGGGGAGAUCGGAAUUCCUGGUGUAGCGGUGGAAUGCGCAGAUAUCAGGAGGAACACCGGUGGCGAAGGCGGAUCUCUGGGCCUUACCUGACGCUCAGGCGCGAAAGCUAGGGGAGCAAACAGGAUUAGAUACCCCGGUAGUCC
This 292-nucleotide ribosomal RNA is filed under the name uncultured bacterium. RNAcentral describes it as "partial 16S ribosomal RNA". It matches the Rfam family "Bacterial small subunit ribosomal RNA", at positions 505 to 796 of the family's 1533-position model. The record is from RNAcentral.